CAGAGUUGGUUUGCAACGUA
Molecule: non-coding RNA, 20 nt
Filed under: Arabidopsis thaliana (thale cress)
Lineage: Eukaryota; Viridiplantae; Streptophyta; Magnoliopsida; Brassicales; Brassicaceae
Source: RNAcentral